Molecule: non-coding RNA, 48 nt
Filed under: Echinostoma caproni
Lineage: Eukaryota; Metazoa; Platyhelminthes; Trematoda; Plagiorchiida; Echinostomatidae
Source: RNAcentral
GCACUGCUGACGAGUCCCAAACAGGAUUAAACAGCUAUUGUCCAGUGC